This 248-nucleotide ribosomal RNA is filed under the name uncultured Ruminiclostridium sp. RNAcentral describes it as "partial 16S ribosomal RNA". It matches the Rfam family "Bacterial small subunit ribosomal RNA", at positions 524 to 771 of the family's 1533-position model. The record is from RNAcentral. Lineage: Bacteria; Bacillati; Bacillota; Clostridia; Eubacteriales; Oscillospiraceae.
UACGUAGGGAGCGAGCGUUGUCCGGAUUUACUGGGUGUAAAGGGUGCGUAGGCGGCUUGACAAGUCAGAAGUGAAAUCCAUGGGCCUAACCCAUGAACUGCUUUUGAAACUGCCGAGCUUGAGUGAAGUAGAGGUAGGCGGAAUUCCCGGUGUAGCGGUGAAAUGCGUAGAGAUCGGGAGGAACACCAGUGGCGAAGGCGGCCUACUGGGCUUUAACUGACGCUGAAGCACGAAAGCGUGGGUAGCAA